Molecule: ribosomal RNA, 495 nt
Filed under: uncultured bacterium
Lineage: Bacteria
Description: partial 16S ribosomal RNA
Rfam family: Bacterial small subunit ribosomal RNA
Source: RNAcentral
GACGAACGCUGGCGGCGUGCCUAAUACAUGCAAGUAGAACGCUGAAGGAGGAGCUUGCUUCUCUGGAUGAGUUGCGAACGGGUGAGUAACGCGUAGGUAACCUGCCUGGUAGCGGGGGAUAACUAUUGGAAACGAUAGCUAAUACCGCAUAACAGUAGAUAUCGCAUGAUAUCUACUUGAAAGGUGCAAUUGCAUCACUACCAGAUGGACCUGCGUUGUAUUAGCUAGUUGGUGAGGUAACGGCUCACCAAGGCGACGAUACAUAGCCGACCUGAGAGGGUGAUCGGCCACACUGGGACUGAGACACGGCCCAGACUCCUACGGGAGGCAGCAGUAGGGAAUCUUCGGCAAUGGACGGAAGUCUGACCGAGCAACGCCGCGUGAGUGAAGAAGGUUUUCGGAUCGUAAAGCUCUGUUGUAAGAGGAGAACGAGUGUGAGAGUGGAAAGUUCACACUGUGACGGUAUCUUACCAGAAAGGGACGGCUAACUACGUG